CCUACGGGUGGCAGCAGUGAGGAAUAUUGGUCAAUGGACGAGAGUCUGAACCAGCCAAGUAGCGUGAAGGAUGACUGCCCUAUGGGUUGUAAACUUCUUUUAUAUGGGAAUAAAAUGUUCCACGUGUGGGAUUUUGUAUGUACCAUAUGAAUAAGGAUCGGCUAACUCCGUGCCAGCAGCCGCGGUAAUACGGAGGAUCCGAGCGUUACCCGGAUUUAUUGGGUUUAAAGGGAGCGUAGGUGGAUUGUUAAGUCAGUUGUGAAAGUUUGCGGCUCAACCGUAGAAUUGCAGUUGAAACUGGCAGUCUUGAGUACAGGAGAGGUGGGCGGAAUUCGUGGUGUAGCGGUGAAAUGCUUAGAUAUCACGAAGAACUCCGAUUGCGAAGGCAGUUCACUGGACUGCAACUGACACUGAGGCUCGAAAGUGUGGGUAUCAAACAGGAUUAGAUACCCGUGUAGUC
RNAcentral lists this ribosomal RNA (460 nucleotides) under uncultured bacterium. RNAcentral describes it as "partial 16S ribosomal RNA". It matches the Rfam family "Bacterial small subunit ribosomal RNA", at positions 338 to 795 of the family's 1533-position model. The record is from RNAcentral.